RNAcentral lists this ribosomal RNA (484 nucleotides) under uncultured bacterium. RNAcentral describes it as "partial 16S ribosomal RNA". It matches the Rfam family "Bacterial small subunit ribosomal RNA", at positions 30 to 507 of the family's 1533-position model. The record is from RNAcentral.
AGUGAACGCUGGCGGCAGGCCUAACACAUGCAAGUCGAGCGGCAGCGCGGGGGCAACCCUGGCGGCGAGCGGCGGACGGGUGAGGAAUUCGUCGGAAUCUGCCUUUUUGUGGGGGAUAACGUAGGGAAACUUACGCUAAUACCGCAUACGUCCUACGGGAGAAAGUGGGGGACCGCAAGGCCUUACGCAGAAAGAUGAGCCGACGACCGAUUAGCUAGUUGGUGGGGUAAAGGCCCACCAAGGCGACGAUCGGUAGCUGGUCUGAGAGGGUGAUCAGCCGCACUAGGACUGAAACAGGGCCCAGACUCCUACGGGAGGCAGCAGUGGGGAAUAUUGGACAAUGGGCGCAAGCCUGGUCCAGCCAUGCCGCGUGUGUGAAGAAGGCCUUCGGGUUGUAAAGCACUUUUGUCCGGAAAGAAAUCCCUGGAGCUAAUACCGUCGGGGGAUGACGGUACCGGAAGAAUAAGCACCGGCUAACUUCGUG